RNAcentral lists this transfer RNA (73 nucleotides) under Clonorchis sinensis. It matches the Rfam family "tRNA". Rfam says of the family: Transfer RNA (tRNA) molecules are approximately 80 nucleotides in length. Their secondary structure includes four short double-helical elements and three loops (D, anti-codon, and T loops). Further hydrogen bonds mediate the characteristic L-shaped molecular structure. tRNAs have two regions of fundamental functional importance: the anti-codon, which is responsible for specific mRNA codon recognition, and the 3' end, to which the tRNAs corresponding amino acid is attached (by aminoacyl-tRNA synthetases). tRNAs cope with the degeneracy of the genetic code in two manners: having more than one tRNA (with a specific anti-codon) for a particular amino acid; and 'wobble' base-pairing, i.e. permitting non-standard base-pairing at the 3rd anti-codon position. The record is from Rfam by way of RNAcentral. Lineage: Eukaryota; Metazoa; Platyhelminthes; Trematoda; Opisthorchiida; Opisthorchiidae.
GUCCGGUUAGCUCAGUCGGUUGAACAUGGGAGUCUUAAUCCCAGGGUCGUGGGUUCGAGCCCCACAUCGGGCG